GUCUGAUUGGCUGCUCUGGGGCUGGGCCCACAGUGGCCAGAGGUCAGGUGCCUCCAGAACUGCAUGUGAAGGGCAGGGGGCCAGCCUCAGAGAGAGGAGAACCGAGGUGCUCUGAGCAGAAGAGGCUAUGCACUGAUUGGGCAGAGCAACAGGUGUUACCCUAGAGCCGUCAUGUGCUGUUAACAGAAAUGCCAUGUGCUCUCUCUUACAGGACUCCUCUCCGAAGACCCAGGCUGGCAGACAUUGUCACCAACCACGUGGGGAAUUGAAGCAAAGGCCUCUGAAACUGCAAAACCCACUGAAAUGGAUUUUGAGAAGAAUACCCAGGUGUCUGCAGCCAUGAGGACGUGAUGGGGAAGCAAGAAUUCAUGCUGCCCAGGGAUCUUGCCCUUCCACUCUGAGCUCUCAAGUCCUUCAUCUGAACGUGGCAGGCACAAGACCGCAGAUCUUGGAGAACUCCUCAUGUUUGGAUUUAAAAACAAAACCAUAGCAUUUCAUAGAAUUAUUUUCCCUCAAUAGAAUAAAAGUUCCAGGAGAGAAAAGUAGUUCCUUUGGACCCUGCUCUCCCUUUAAGUCAAGUAAACAUCUGUCAAGGAGGAACAAGACAGAAUUCCUUGUGAUCAGAUGCUCCUGGUUCUACAGCAAUUUAUCAAAGCCCUUCUCAUCAAUUAGAGAAAUAUUUGAAAAAUCAUCACAGCUCCUGCAAGCGCCUCAUGUAUAAUUCAAAGCGGUGGCUCCGGAUGGAGUGAGAAAGCUACAGAAGUGAGCACUGCCUUUUGAAGUGGUGGGAAAAGAGCUGCACACGGAACAAGCUUUUCCUGAACACGUGCUGUGUGCAGGUCUCCUCUUGGGACCUUGGGAUGAAGGAAGAGAAAGAAAAUAGAGCCCCUGCCCUCAGAGAGCCUCCAGUCUGGGAACGUAAACUCGCAUAUCCGUGAUGCCUGAUAACUCUCUUGAACUCACUGCUGCAAAAAUGGCUUCUCGGCGUGUAAACAAGUCUGUAUUUGCAGAAGCAGUGAUGCUCCCUCUGAAGAAAGCAAAUAGAAAAAAAAAAGAAAAACCUCCAUCCUCUCUAUUGGCCACCGCCAUCCCCUGGAAGACACAGAUCAGGGAACUGGCUGCCUUCCAAAUUUCCCUGCCUGCUCACUCGCUCUUAAAAUACCCUCAGUCACAGAUGCUUCUAGAAUGUGAGCUGACCUGGAACACUCUUCGUCAAGGGCAGCAAAGCUUUCAAGUGGUUUCCUGGAACAAGAAAAAGAAAACGAGAGAGAGAAAAGAAGGUUUCUGAAAAUGAGACUUAGCAGCUCACACAAGUGGCACCAAACAGAGGCUGGAUUCCUUGGAAAGAACGCCGACUACCUGCCUCAGGCACCUCUCUGAACCUUUGUCUUUUCACCUAUAAAGUGGGGGCUGUAGCAGCCUCCUUUCAGAGUCUUCUGAGGAGGAAGGGGUCCCACAGGUAAACUGGCGGGCCGGGGCGUGUAUACAAAGAGCGCGCAGUAGAUACAGCCCCUUCUGUGUUCUAGAGCCCGAGCUGCUUCAGAAUUGCCUGGUCGGAGGUCAGCUGCACCCAAACUUCACUCUGGUCCCUUCGCCUAGUACAGAUUACUCCCCACAGAUCACCUAUUGCAGAGGAUUCUCAAACACCUUUCUUAAUCUCUCUGGACCAUUUAUGGAAUGAAGAUAAUGCCAGUCACCUCACUGGCAUGUGACAAGGAUUAAACGAGUUUAUGUUUGCAAAGCACCUAGAACAGCCUGCACACAUGACAGGCAUGCAGUUUGCCUCGGCUGCUUUCUCCAGCUUCCUCUGCUGGACACAUUGGGUUGAGAAUUCACAACGAGCCCUGUAUAGUCCUCCAGUUAUUUUUAACAGAACAUAAGUGGCUUGCCAUUCUCUCUUCUUACAUCGCUCCCAUUCCCCCUUUGACAGGCCUCCUGCAAGCCUACCUACACAGGGGCUGUGAAAUUCCGAACAGUAAACAACCCUCUGUGGAGAUUAGCAGAUGACAACACAAAGCGGAAGCAUUUUCUCACCAGGAGCGCCCAGGUCGUCACUGCUGUGUUUGGCUGCCGCCCACCCAUCUCCCUUCUCUGUGUCUGUGCACAUCCACCCCUGCCCGGCUGCCUAAUAAACUAUCCAGUUUCCAGAGUCCA
This is a long non-coding RNA of Bos indicus x Bos taurus (hybrid cattle), 2154 nucleotides long. Lineage: Eukaryota; Metazoa; Chordata; Mammalia; Artiodactyla; Bovidae. The record is from Ensembl.